RNAcentral lists this ribosomal RNA (443 nucleotides) under uncultured bacterium. Its description in RNAcentral is "SSU rRNA". It matches the Rfam family "Bacterial small subunit ribosomal RNA", at positions 26 to 518 of the family's 1533-position model. The record is from RNAcentral.
AGAACGAACGCUGGCGGCAGGCCUAAUACAUGCAAGUCGAACGCACUCUUCGGAGUGAGUGGCAGACGGGUGAGUAACGCGUGGGAACCUUCCCAAUGGUACGGAAUAACUCCGGGAAACCGGUGCUAAUACCGUAUAAGCCCCUCGGGGGAAAGAUUUAUCGCCAUUGGAUGGGCCCGCGUCGGAUUAGCUAGUUGGUAAGGUAAUGGCUUACCAAGGCUACGAUCCGUAGCUGGUCUGAGAGGAUGAUCAGCCACACUGGGACUGAGACACGGCCCAGACUCCUACGGGAGGCAGCAGUAGGGAAUCUUGGACAAUGGGCGAAAGCCUGAUCCAGCCAUGCCGCGUGAGUGAAGAAGGCCUUAGGGUUGUAAAGCUCUUUUGGCGGGACGAUAAUGACGGUACCCGCAGAUAAGCCCGGCUAACUUCGUGCCAGCAGCCGC